Molecule: ribosomal RNA, 449 nt
Filed under: uncultured bacterium
Lineage: Bacteria
Description: bacterial SSU rRNA
Rfam family: Bacterial small subunit ribosomal RNA
Source: RNAcentral
GAUGAACGCUAGCUACAGGCUUAACACAUGCAAGUCGAGGGGCAGCGGGAAGGAAGCUUGCUUUCUUCGCCGGCGACCGGCGCACGGGUGCGUAACGCGUAUCCAACCUGCCCACCACUUGGGGAUAACCUUGCGAAAGUAAGACUAAUACCCAAUGACGUCUCUAGAAGGCAUCUGAAAUGAAUUAAAGAUUUAUCGGUGAUGGAUGGGGAUGCGUCUGAUUAGCUUGUUGGCGGGGUAACGGCCCACCAAGGCAACGAUCAGUAGGGGUUCUGAGAGGAAGGUCCCCCCACAUUGGAACUGAGACACGGUCCAAACUCCUACGGGAGGCAGCAGUGAGGAAUAUUGGUCAAUGGGCGAGAGCCUGAACCAGCCAAGUAGCGUGCAGGACGACGGCCCUAUGGGUUGUAAACUGCUUUUAUAAGGGAAUAAAGUGAGCCUCGUGAGGC